Molecule: non-coding RNA, 119 nt
Organism: Corchorus olitorius
Lineage: Eukaryota; Viridiplantae; Streptophyta; Magnoliopsida; Malvales; Malvaceae
Source: Rfam
GGGUGCGAUCAUACCUGCACUAAUGCACCGGAUCCCAAAAGAACUCCGCUGUUAAGCGUGCUUCGGCGAGAGUAAUACUUGGAUGAGUGACCUCCUAAGAAGUCCUCGUUUUGCUCCCC